AACCUUAUGGACCUGCGGGCGUAUACCUGCGGAAGGAUCAUUACCGAGUUUACAACUCCCAAACCCCUGUGAACAUACCUAUACGUUGCCUCGGCGGAUCAGCCCGCGCCCUGUAAAAAGGGACGGCCCGCCCGAGGACCCUAAACUCUGUUUUUAGUGGAACUUCUGAGUAAAACAAACAAAUAAAUCAAAACUUUCAGCAAUGGAUCU
This 210-nucleotide unclassified non-coding RNA is filed under the name soil metagenome. RNAcentral describes it as "partial contains 5.8S ribosomal RNA, internal transcribed spacer 2, and large subunit ribosomal RNA". The record is from RNAcentral.